GGCUCAGAUUGAACGCUGGCGGCAUGCCUUACACAUGCAAGUCGAACGGCAGGCACGGGGCAACCUGGUGGCGAGUGGCGAACGGGUGAGUAAUGCAUCGGAACGUGCCAUUGAGUGGGGGAUAACGUAGCGAAAGUUGCGCUAAUACCGCAUAUUCUGUGAGCAGGAAAGCAGGGGACCGCAAGGCCUUGCGCUCUUUGAGCGGCCGAUGUCAGAUUAGCUAGUUGGUGAGGUAACGGCUUACCAAGGCGACGAUCUGUAGCGGGGUCUGAGAGGAUGAUCCGCCACACUGGAACUGAGACACGGUCCAGACUCCUACGGGAGGCAGCAGUGGGGAAUUUUGGACAAUGGGCGCAAGCCUGAUCCAGCCAUGCCGCGUGAGUGAAGAAGGCCUUCGGGUUGUAAAGCUCUUUCGGCCGGGAAGAAAUCGCAUGGGUUAAUACCCUGUGUGGAUGACGGUACCGGAAUAAGAAGCACCGGCUAACUACGUG
RNAcentral lists this ribosomal RNA (491 nucleotides) under uncultured bacterium. RNAcentral describes it as "bacterial SSU rRNA". It matches the Rfam family "Bacterial small subunit ribosomal RNA", at positions 21 to 507 of the family's 1533-position model. The record is from RNAcentral.